Molecule: long non-coding RNA, 555 nt
Filed under: Carica papaya (papaya)
Lineage: Eukaryota; Viridiplantae; Streptophyta; Magnoliopsida; Brassicales; Caricaceae
Description: long non-coding RNA (CPAP_LNC013762)
Source: RNAcentral
UUAGUUUGGAUGAUAUUUUUGAAAGAAAAAUUAAAAACAGCAUGUCAAAAUGCAAAAAGAAAAAAUUCAACCACGUGAGACGGCCUAAUCAGUAGCCACGGUGAACCAGAGCACGCUGUGUGGCAAAACAUGCUAAUAUUGGUGCCACGCAAAAGGCCACGUUGACGAUCUGCGUGUCCAGCGAUCCGACGACCCAAAUUUAAACCUGCGCGCCUGAAUGACUAAGAUGCAUUCCCUCCUUAGGCUCGAUCAGACGAACGAAAUCAAUCGCGAUGAACGGUCUGAAUUCGCCCACACAAUCAGCCUAAACAUGCAACAAUUGGAAGACUCUCCUCGCUCCACGUCGACGCAAAUGGAUGGCCCAUAUCGACACGGGAUAAAUAUAUAAACAUUACGUUGUAGAGGAAUCUUGACCCUAGCCGCACCUGCUCUCGCCAGAGAAGGAGACCGACGUCUGGCCACUAUCAUACCGAAGCCACUGCCAACAGCUAAAAAAGGUAAAAUUCUCCCCUACCCGUUUGAAAUUCGAUUUCGAGUCUCUUCGUGGACAUAUCG